AGUGAACGCUGGCGGCGUGCUUAACACAUGCAAGUCGAACGAGAACGGAUUAUAGCUUGCUAUAAUUGUCAGCUAAGUGGCGCACGGGUGAGUAAUGUAUAGGUAAUAUGCCUCUUACUAAGGGAUAACAAAUGGAAACGUUUGCUAAUACCUUAUACUCCUUAUUAACAGAAGUUAAUAAGGGAAAGAUUUAUUGGUAAGAGAUUAGCCUGUAUUGUAUCAGUUAGUUGUGGGGUAAUGGCUUACCAAGACUAUGACACAUAACUGGUUUGAGAGGAUGAUCAGUCACACUGGAACUGAGACACGGUCCAGACUCCUACGGGAGGCAGCAGUGGGGAAUAUUGCACAAUGGCGAAAGUCUGAUGCAGCAACGCCGCGUGGAGGAUGACACAUUUCGGUGCGUAAACNCCUUUUAUAUGGGAAGAUAAUGACGGUACCAUAUGAAUAAGCACCGGCUAACUCGUG
This 465-nucleotide ribosomal RNA is filed under the name uncultured bacterium. RNAcentral describes it as "bacterial SSU rRNA". It matches the Rfam family "Bacterial small subunit ribosomal RNA", at positions 29 to 507 of the family's 1533-position model. The record is from RNAcentral.